This 451-nucleotide ribosomal RNA is filed under the name bacterium enrichment culture clone aHCH4_H9. RNAcentral describes it as "bacterial SSU rRNA". It matches the Rfam family "Bacterial small subunit ribosomal RNA", at positions 60 to 506 of the family's 1533-position model. The record is from RNAcentral.
AGUCGAACGGCAGCACGGACUUCGGUCUGGUGGCGAGUGGCGAACGGGUGAGUAAUGUAUCGGAACGUGCCCAGUAGCGGGGGAUAACUACGCGAAAGCGUAGCUAAUACCGCAUACGCCCUACGGGGGAAAGCAGGGGAUCGCAAGACCUUGCACUAUUGGAGCGGCCGAUAUCGGAUUAGCUAGUUGGUGGGGUAACGGCUCACCAAGGCGACGAUCCGUAGCUGGUUUGAGAGGACGACCAGCCACACUGGGACUGAGACACGGCCCAGACUCCUACGGGAGGCAGCAGUGGGGAAUUUUGGACAAUGGGGGAAACCCUGAUCCAGCCAUCCCGCGUGUGCGAUGAAGGCCUUCGGGUUGUAAAGCACUUUUGGCAGGAAAGAAACGUCGUGGGUUAAUACCCCGCGAAACUGACGGUACCUGCAGAAUAAGCACCGGCUAACUACGU